RNAcentral lists this ribosomal RNA (460 nucleotides) under uncultured bacterium. RNAcentral describes it as "partial 16S ribosomal RNA". It matches the Rfam family "Bacterial small subunit ribosomal RNA", at positions 338 to 795 of the family's 1533-position model. The record is from RNAcentral.
CCUACGGUGGGCAGCAGUGAGGAAUAUUGGUCAAUGGGCGCGAGCCUGAACCAGCCAAGUCGCGUGAAGGAUGACUGCCCUACGGGUUGUAAACCUCUUUUAUAAAGGAAUAAAGUGAGCCACGCGUGCCUUUUCGUAUGUACCUUAUGAAUAAGCAUCGGCUAACUCCGUGCCAGCAGCCGCGGUAAUACGGAGGAGGCAAGCGUUAUCCGGAAUGACUGGGGGUAAAGGGUGCGUAGGUGGUUAGUCAAGUUAGUAGCGUAACCGCGGGGCUCAACCUCGGAAGUACGGCUAAACCUGGCUGACUUGAGUGCACGAGGGGCAAGUGGAAUUCGUGGUGUAGCGGUGGAAUGCGUAGAUAUUAGGAAGAACACCAGUGGCGAAGGCGAAAUACUGGAGUGUAACUGACGCUGAGGCACGAAAGCGUGGGGAUCGAACAGGAUUAGAUACCCUAGUAGUC